AUCUGAUCCUAGACCCAGUCAGCAGGGAGAAUGCAGGAAGCUACUCCUGUGCUGUGAAAACCAACAAAGAUAUCAGCUCUGCUCCAAAGACUCUCACUGUCCAAAGUAUCACAGGAACAUGGACACCAGCAGCUGCAGGAGUUUCUGCUGCUCUGCUCCUUUUAAUACCUCUCUCUGUCUUCUGGUGUGUUAGAAAAAAGAGGAUUUCUAACCAGCCUUCAAGAACUGAAACAUUCGGCAACAAACAGCAGAUUUUUCCUAAUUUCAUACAUGAAAACGUUCCAGCUGAAUCGGAGGAGCAGGAUGGUCAUCACUAUGUCAGGCUGCAUUUCAGUUUGAAAAACAACACUGACCUCUACUCAACCAUCGAGUUAUCGCCUGCUAAAAUGACAACAACUUCCAGUCACUUUCCAAGAAGUGAAACAUCAGACAAUGAAGAGCAGGUAACGCCUGAUUCCAUAUAUGAAAACCUCCCAGCUCAUUAUAGCGGACUGCAACUACCUAUGACCCACACAAGUGCUUUCUACUCCAGUAUGGACCCACUACCUGCUCACUAAAGUAACUUUGUUACCAUAGUGAUUUAAAGGGCCUUUUUCUCUGAUAGGUUUAGCAACUGAACUAAUUUCAGUAUCACAGCAGGGACACCACAUCUGGUGGAUCUGCCAGUGGUUUUCAUACAUAAAUUACAGAAGAAAUAAAUCUUGAACUUUUCAGUUAUAAAAUGUAUGUUAUUAAAACAUAUGUCACAACUGAAAGAUGACAAAAAACAGCAACUUGUGUUUGAGUGCAGCUGAGUGACUUUUUUAAUGCACCAUGAAAUGUCCAAAAACCACUUGAUGUCUCUAUAUUAACUUUUGCAACCCUCAUAACUUUCCAAAAAAACUGUAUUGACAUUUACUGCAAUAAAAGUGGUUUC
This is a long non-coding RNA of Oreochromis aureus, 916 nucleotides long. The record is from Ensembl. Lineage: Eukaryota; Metazoa; Chordata; Actinopteri; Cichliformes; Cichlidae.